Molecule: long non-coding RNA, 610 nt
Filed under: Fragaria vesca (wild strawberry)
Lineage: Eukaryota; Viridiplantae; Streptophyta; Magnoliopsida; Rosales; Rosaceae
Description: long non-coding RNA (FVES_LNC003772)
Source: RNAcentral
AUUUUAUAUAGGCGGUUGCGUCUCAUCUACAUGAGAGUUUUUCGUGUGGAAGGUUUGACCAAAACUAUGUAAUAUAGAGGGAGAUACGAGCGUUUUCGUGAAUUUAUAGACUUUAGCCGACGAGAUAUUAAAAAAGUCGUCGGCUAAGGUCAAAAAUUGUUUGGCGGUAAACCAAAUUUGGAGGAAAAUUUUCAAAUGACUUUAGCCGACGGAAAUAUAUGAAAAGUCGUCGGCUAAAGUCGAAAAAAUAUUUGACGGCAAACCAAAUUUGGGAGAAAAUUUUCAAAAUUUUCAAAGGACUUUAGCCGACGAGCUUCAUUACUUUAGCCGACGAAUUUCACAAGUUUCGUCGGCUAAAGUCUGUUUCCGCCAAAAAUUUCGGAAAAUUUCAAACCUCCUUUAAAUUUUUAGCUCUCUCUUUAACCUACUCCCCUCAAACAUCUUAUCUUCUUCUUUCUCUCACCAAGAACUUCACCCAAUAACUUUUUCUUCUCUUCCCCACCGAAACAAACCCACUCACUCUCUCUUUCCUCUCCCUCUUCUCCUCCUCCUCUCCCUCUCCUCCCUCUUCCAACUCCUUAGAUCGAUCUUGUCACAUCCCGACCCUUAU